AUACGGAGGAUCCGAGCGUUAUCCGGAUUUAUUGGGUUUAAAGGGUGCGCAGGCGGGAGAUUAAGUCGGCGGUGAAAUUUUGCAGCUUAACUGUAAAAGUGCCUUCGAAACUGGUUUCCUUGAGUGUAGAUGAAGUAGGCGGAAUUUGUGGUGUAGCGGUGAAAUGCAUAGAUAUCACGAGGAACUCCGAUUGCGCAGGCAGCUUACUAAACUACUACUGACGCUCAGGCACGAAGGCGUGGGGAUCAAACAGGAUUAGAUACCCUGGUAGUCCACGCAGUAAACGAUGAUUACUCGCUGUUUGCGAUAUACAGUAAGCGGCUUAGCGAAAGCGUUAAGUAAUCCACCUGGGGAGUACGUUCGCAAGAAUGAAACUCAAAUGAAUUGACGGGG
RNAcentral lists this ribosomal RNA (393 nucleotides) under uncultured bacterium. RNAcentral's name for it is "partial 16S ribosomal RNA". It matches the Rfam family "Bacterial small subunit ribosomal RNA", at positions 523 to 918 of the family's 1533-position model. The record is from RNAcentral.